CCGCGAGUAAUGCUGGAGCGUUUAGAAAAGAAAAUGUAGGCAUAAGUAACGAUAAUUUGGGUGAAAAACCCAGACGCCGUAAGACUAAGGGUUCCUGAUCAACGCUAAUCGGAUCAGGGUUAGUCGGGUCCUUAGGCAAAGCCGAAAGGCGUAGCUGAUGGCAAAAUGGUGAAUAUUCCAUUACCUGCUAUAACUUCGAUGGAGUAACGGAGUAGUGAAAGGACUGCGCACUUACGGAAUAGUGCGUUAAAGGGUGUAGUUAUAUUUUGUGUAGGUAAAUCCGCACGGGAUGAUGAACCUGAUAGUACAACAAAGCUUCGGCCGCGUUGAUAAUGUCCCUAAUCAGACUUCCAAGAAAAACUUCUAAGGUUCGGUUAUAGCAGCCCGUACCGUAAACCGACACAGGUAGUCGAGGAGAGUAUCCUCAGGCGCUCGAGUGAUCCGUGGUAAAGGAACUAGGCAAAUUGACGCUGUAACUUCGGGAUAAGGCGUACUGCAGUAAUGCAGUCUCAGUAAAAUGGUCCAACCAACUGUUUAACAAAAACACAGGGCCCUGCAAAAUCGAAAGAUGACGUAUAGAGCCUGAUACCUGCCCGGUGCUGGAAGGUUAAGGAAGGAUGUCCGGCGCAAGCCAAAGCUUCUGACUGAAGCCCCAGUAAACGGCGGCCGUAACAAUAACGGUCCUAAGGUAGCGAAAUUCCUUGUCGGGUAAGUUCCGACCUGCACGAAUGGUCUAAUGAGUUGGACACUGUCUCUACCACGAGCUCGGUGAAAUUGUAGUAUCGGUGAAGAUGCCGGUUAAUCGCAACGGGACGGAAAGACCCCGUGAACCUUCACUACAACUUAACAUUGAUUUUGAACCACAGAUGUGUAGGAUAGUUGGGAGACUAUGAAGCAGCUUCGCCAGGAGUUGUGGAGUCAACGUUGAAAUACCAACCUUCUGUUGUUUAGAGUCUAACACCUCACGGUGGACAUUGUUUGGUGGGUAGUUUGACUGGGGUGGUCGCCUCCUAAAAAGUAACGGAGGCUCGCAAAGGUACCCUCAGUACGGUUGGUAAUCGUACGCAGAGCGCAUUAGUAAAAGGGUGCUUGACUGUGAGGCAAACAAGCCGAGCAGGAGCGAAAGCUGGCUAAAGUGAUCCGGUGAUUCUGCAUGGAAGGGUCAUCGCUCAAAGGAUAAAAGGUACUCCGGAUAACAGGCUGAUCUCCCCCAAGAGCUCAUAUCGACGGGGAGGUUUGGCACCUCGAUGUCGGUUCGUCACAUCCUGGGGCUGGAGAAGGUCCCAAGGGUUCGGCUGUUCGCCGAUUAAAGUGGCACGUGAACUGGGUUCAGAACGUCGCAAGACAUUUCGGUCCCUAUCUGUUGUGAUCGUUAGUAAAUUGCGAGGACAUGACCUUAGUACGAGAGGACCGGGUCGUACAUACCGCUGGUGUAUCAGUUGUGCCGCCAGGUGCAAUGCUGAGUAGCUAUGUAUGGACAGGAUAAACGCUGAAAGCAUCUAAGCGUGAAACCAACCUCAAGAUGAGUUUACUUUUAAGGGCCGUCGGAGACUACGACGUUGAUAGGCUACAGGUGUAAGGGUGGUAACAUCGAAGCCGAGUAGUACUAAUUGCCCGUAAGCUUUAAUG
Molecule: ribosomal RNA, 1629 nt
Filed under: metagenome
Description: bacterial LSU rRNA
Rfam family: Bacterial large subunit ribosomal RNA
Source: RNAcentral